CCUACGGGUGGCAGCAGUCGAGAAUCAUUCACAAUGGGGGAAACCCUGAUGGUGCGACGCCGCGUGGGGGAAUGAAGGUCUUCGGAUUGUAAACCCCUGUCAUGUGGGAGCAAAUUAAAAAGAUAGUACCACAAGAGGAAGAGACGGCUAACUCUGUGCCAGCAGCCGCGGUAAUACAGAGGUCUCAAGCGUUGUUCGGAAUCACUGGGCGUAAAGCGUGCGUAGGCUGUUUCGUAAGUCGUGUGUGAAAGGUGCGGGCUCAACCCGCGGACGGCACAUGAUACUGCGAGACUAGAGUAAUGGAGGGGGAACCGGAAGUCUCGGUGUAGCAGUGAAAUGCGUAGAUAUCGAGAGGAACACUCGUGGCGAAGGCGGGUUCCUGGACAUUAACUGACGCUGAGGCACGAAGGCCAGGGGAGCGAAAGGGAUUAGAUACCCCUGUAGUC
RNAcentral lists this ribosomal RNA (446 nucleotides) under uncultured bacterium. RNAcentral's name for it is "partial 16S ribosomal RNA". It matches the Rfam family "Bacterial small subunit ribosomal RNA", at positions 338 to 795 of the family's 1533-position model. The record is from RNAcentral.